AUACGUUUCAUAACCGUCUUGUGU
RNAcentral lists this non-coding RNA (24 nucleotides) under Arabidopsis thaliana (thale cress). Lineage: Eukaryota; Viridiplantae; Streptophyta; Magnoliopsida; Brassicales; Brassicaceae. The record is from RNAcentral.